This 492-nucleotide ribosomal RNA is filed under the name uncultured bacterium. RNAcentral describes it as "partial 16S ribosomal RNA". It matches the Rfam family "Bacterial small subunit ribosomal RNA", at positions 28 to 507 of the family's 1533-position model. The record is from RNAcentral.
GAUGAACGCUAGCUACAGGCUUAACACAUGCAAGUCGAGGGGAAACGACAUCGAAAGCUUGCUUUUGAUGGGCGUCGACCGGCGCACGGGUGAGUAACGCGUAUCCAACCUGCCCAUCACUUGGGAAUAACCUUGCGAAAGUAAGACUAAUACCCAAUGAUAUCCCACGAAGGCAUCGGAAUGGGAUUAAAGAUUUAUCGGUGAUGGAUGGGGAUGCGUCUGAUUAGCUUGUUGGCGGAGUAACGGCCCACCAAGGGAACGAGCAGUAGGGGUUCUGAGAGGAAGGUCCCCCACAUUGGAACUGAGACACGGACAAAACUCCUACGGGAGGCAGCAGUGAGGAAUAUUGGUCAAUGGGCGAGAGCCUGACCCAGCCAAGUAGCGUGCAGGAAGACGGCCCUAUGGGUUGUAAACUGCUUUUAUAAGGGAAUAAAGUGGGUCACGUGUGACUUUUUGCAUGUACCUUAUGAAUAAGGACCGGCUAAUUCCGUG